AGUGAACGCUGGCGGCAGGCCUAAUACAUGCAAGUCGAACGGCAGCACAGCAGAGCUUGCUCUGUGGGUGGCGAGUGGCGGACGGGUGAGGAAUACGUGGGAAUCUGCCCAGUCGUGGGGGAUAACGUAGGGAAACUUACGCUAAUACCGCAUGCGCCCUUCGGGGGAAAGCCGGGGACCUUCGGGCCUGGCGCGAUUGGAUGAGCCCACGUCGGAUUAGCUAGUUGGCGGGGUAAAGGCCCACCAAGGCGACGAUCCGUAGCUGGUCUGAGAGGAUGAUCAGCCACACUGGAACUGAGACACGGUCCAGACUCCUACGGGAGGCAGCAGUAGGGAAUAUUGGACAAUGGGCGCAAGCCUGAUCCAGCCAUGCCGCGUGAGUGAAGAAGGCCCUCGGGUUGUAAAGCUCUUUGUCCGGAAAGAAAGCGCCGGGUUAAUACCCUGGUGUCCUGACGGUACCGGAAGAAUAAGCACCGGCUAACUUCGUGCCAGCAGCCGCGGUAAU
This 505-nucleotide ribosomal RNA is filed under the name uncultured bacterium. Its description in RNAcentral is "bacterial SSU rRNA". It matches the Rfam family "Bacterial small subunit ribosomal RNA", at positions 29 to 524 of the family's 1533-position model. The record is from RNAcentral.